GAUGAACGCUGGCGGCGUGCCUAAUACAUGCAAGUCGAGCGAACAGACGAGGAGCUUGCUCCUCUGACGUUAGCGGCGGACGGGUGAGUAACACGUGGAUAACCUACCUAUAAGACUGGGAUAACUUCGGGAAACCGGAGCUAAUACCGGAUAAUAUAUUGAACCGCAUGGUUCAAUAGUGAAAGACGGUUUUGCUGUCACUUAUAGAUGGAUCCGCGCCGCAUUAGCUAGUUGGUAAGGUAACGGCUUACCAAGGCAACGAUGCGUAGCCGACCUGAGAGGGGGAUCGGCCACACGGGAACUGGGACACGGUCCAGACUCCUACGGGAGGCAGCAGUAGGGAAUCGUCCGCAAUGGGCGAAAGCCUGACGGAGCAACGCCGCGUGAGUGAUGAAGGUCUUCGGAUCGUAAAACUCUGUUAUUAGGGAAGAACAAAUGUGUAAGUAACUAUGCACGUCUUGACGGUACCUAAUCAGAAAGCCACGGCUAACUACGUG
This 497-nucleotide ribosomal RNA is filed under the name uncultured bacterium. RNAcentral describes it as "partial 16S ribosomal RNA". It matches the Rfam family "Bacterial small subunit ribosomal RNA", at positions 28 to 507 of the family's 1533-position model. The record is from RNAcentral.